UAAGCAGAUAGUGAAAUCAUGUGGCUCAACCAUUAUGGCUAUUACCUGAACUGGCAUACUCGAGAGUAGUAGAGGUACCUGGAAUUUCUAGUGUAGGGGUGAAAUCCGUAGAUAUUAGAAGGAACACCAAUGGCGUAGGCAGGGUACUAGACUAUUUCUGACGCUAAGGCACGAAAGCGUGGGGAGCGAACCGGAUUAGAUACCCGGGUAGUCCACGCCGUAAACUAUGGAUGCUA
RNAcentral lists this ribosomal RNA (236 nucleotides) under uncultured Candidatus Saccharibacteria bacterium. RNAcentral's name for it is "partial 16S ribosomal RNA". It matches the Rfam family "Bacterial small subunit ribosomal RNA", at positions 584 to 818 of the family's 1533-position model. The record is from RNAcentral. Lineage: Bacteria; Candidatus Saccharimonadota.